Molecule: long non-coding RNA, 546 nt
Organism: Zingiber officinale
Lineage: Eukaryota; Viridiplantae; Streptophyta; Magnoliopsida; Zingiberales; Zingiberaceae
Exons: 3
Source: RefSeq, a predicted model, not a curated record
GUCGUGCAGUACCUCCUCGUCGCCCCAGUUUCAGCUGAAUCAGGAUGAAAGCUGAAUAGAUAAUGGUUGAGAUGGAAAAUGAAAGCUGCAUGAUCGGUAGCUGGCUUCCUCUAAAUCCAAGCUCGAGAACCCUAUUGUCAAGCUCUUGACUGAAGAUUUUGGCUCUAGAUCGUUACCAACUUUCUUGGUAGAGAAUGGAAAUUUGGGGCUUUCAUGGAACCCUAGAAACCAAACGGUGGGUGUGAGCUCAAAAACAGAAGGUGAGGUUGGAGCCAUUUUCUCUACAAUAUGAACCUUCUUGGGCUCAAAAACGAGUGUCCAAUUCCAAUCAAAAGUGCAAUCCUACAAAGUUUGUGACAGGGGACUGUGGUGGAUCUACCAGCAAAUAUCGCACUCUUAUUGCUGAUACACAGUGGUAGGUGUUUUGUCCAAGUCUCAAGCCAACAAUCCUUUUUGAUCAGUAUAUCUAGUAGAAGUAAGCAUGCAGAUCGUUGUCUUUGAGGCCGACUAGCUAUUUUGUGCUUUUUUUUGUUUUAAAUUCGAAUG